This 441-nucleotide ribosomal RNA is filed under the name uncultured bacterium. RNAcentral's name for it is "partial 16S ribosomal RNA". It matches the Rfam family "Bacterial small subunit ribosomal RNA", at positions 338 to 795 of the family's 1533-position model. The record is from RNAcentral.
CCUACGGGCGGCAGCAGUGGGGGAUAUUGCACAAUGGGGGGAACCCUGAUGCAGCAACGCCGCGUGAGUGAAGGAGGGCUUCGGAUUGUAAAGCUCUGUUGGCAGGGAAGAGGAAGGACGGUACCUGCCUAGGAAGCCACGGCUAACUACGUGCCAGCAGCCGCGGUAAUACGUAGGUGGCCAGCGUUGUUCGGAAUAACUGGGGGUAAAGGAUGCGUAGGCUGUUAAACAAGUAAUGUGGUAAAUAUAUAGGCUUAACCUGUAGAAAGCAUAUAAAACUGCUUAACUGGAGUGCAGGAGGGGUAAGUGGAAUGCCUGGUGUAGCGGUGAAAUGCGUAGAGAUUAGGAAGAACACCAGUGGCGAAGGCGACUUACUGGACUGUAACUGACGCUGAGGCAUGAGAGCGUGGGGAGCAAACAGGAUUAGAUACUCUUGUAGUC